CUCAUGAUGAACGCUAGCUACAGGCUUAACACAUGCAAGUCGAGGGGCAUCAGGAAGAAAGCUUGCUUUCUUUGCUGGCGACCGGCGCACGGGUGAGUAACACGUAUCCAACCUGCCCUUUACUCGGGGAUAGCCUUUCGAAAGAAAGAUUAAUACCCGAUAGCAUAAUGAUUCCGCAUGGUUUCAUUAUUAAAGGAUUCCGGUAAAGGAUGGGGAUGCGUUCCAUUAGGUUGUUGGUGAGGUAACGGCCCACCAAGCCUUCGAUGGAUAGGGGUUCUGAGAGGAAGGUCCCCACAUUGGAACUGAGACACGGUCCAAACUCCUACGGGAGGCAGCAGUGAGGAAUAUUGGUCAAUGGGCGCUAGCCUGAACCAGCCAAGUAGCGUGAAGGAUGAAGGCUCUAUGGGUCGUAAACUUCUUUUAUAUAAGAAUAAAGUGCAGUAUGUAUACUGUUUUGUAUGUAUUAUAUGAAUAAGGAUCGGCUAACUCCGUGCCAGCAGCCGCGGUAAUACGGAGGAUCCGAGCGUUAUCCGGAUUUAUUGGGUUUAAAGGGAGCGUAGGUGGACUGGUAAGUCAGUUGUGAAAGUUUGCGGCUCAACCGUAAAAUUGCAGUUGAUACUGUCAGUCUUGAGUACAGUAGAGGUGGGCGGAAUUCGUGGUGUAGCGGUGAAAUGCUUAGAUAUCACGAAGAACUCCGAUUGCGAAGGCAGCUCACUGGACUGCAACUGACACUGAUGCUCGAAAGUGUGGGUAUCAAACAGGAUUAGAUACCCUGGUAGUCCACACAGUAAACGAUGAAUACUCGCUGUUUGCGAUAUACAGUAAGCGGCCAAGCGAAAGCAUUAAGUAUUCCACCUGGGGAGUACGCCGGCAACGGUGAAACUCAAAGGAAUUGACGGGGGCCCGCACAAGCGGAGGAACAUGUGGUUUAAUUCGAUGAUACGCGAGGAACCUUACCCGGGCUUAAAUUGCAGUGGAAUGAUGUGGAAACAUGUCAGUGAGCAAUCACCGCUGUGAAGGUGCUGCAUGGUUGUCGUCAGCUCGUGCCGUGAGGUGUCGGCUUAAGUGCCAUAACGAGCGCAACCCUUAUCUUUAGUUACUAACAGGUUAUGCUGAGGACUCUAGAGAGACUGCCGUCGUAAGAUGUGAGGAAGGUGGGGAUGACGUCAAAUCAGCACGGCCCUUACGUCCGGGGCUACACACGUGUUACAAUGGGGGGUACAGAAGGCAGCUAGCGGGUGACCGUAUGCUAAUCCCAAAAUCCUCUCUCAGUUCGGAUCGAAGUCUGCAACCCGACUUCGUGAAGCUGGAUUCGCUAGUAAUCGCGCAUCAGCCACGGCGCGGUGAAUACGUUCCCGGGCCUUGUACACACCGCCCGUCAAGCCAUGGGAGCCGGGGGUACCUGAAGUACGUAACCGCAAGGAUCGUCCUAGGGUAAAACUGG
RNAcentral lists this ribosomal RNA (1444 nucleotides) under uncultured organism. Its description in RNAcentral is "SSU rRNA". It matches the Rfam family "Bacterial small subunit ribosomal RNA". The record is from RNAcentral.